GAGGGUCUAGCUCAGCGGUAGAGCGCCUGCUUAGCCUGCAUGAGGUCCUGGGUUCGAUCCCCAGCACCUCCG
Transfer RNA from Camelus ferus (Wild Bactrian camel), 72 nucleotides. It matches the Rfam family "tRNA". From Rfam's summary of the family: Transfer RNA (tRNA) molecules are approximately 80 nucleotides in length. Their secondary structure includes four short double-helical elements and three loops (D, anti-codon, and T loops). NCBI's taxonomy places the organism in Eukaryota, Metazoa, Chordata, Mammalia, Artiodactyla, Camelidae. The record is from Rfam.